Molecule: long non-coding RNA, 1620 nt
Filed under: Malus domestica (apple)
Lineage: Eukaryota; Viridiplantae; Streptophyta; Magnoliopsida; Rosales; Rosaceae
Description: long non-coding RNA (MDOM_LNC000816)
Source: RNAcentral
UGCUUAUUCAAUCUGCCUUUCGUGGGUUUGAGGUCAGGAGGUGGGAACCAUUGAAGAAACUAAAGCAAAUAGCUGACAUUCGUGAGCAGGUUGCUGAUAUUCGUAAUCGUAUCUCCACUUUAGAGACUUCUGAUCUCCAGAAAGAUGACAAGCAGAGAGUAAUAAUUGGGGAGACAAUCAUGAGACUCCUCCUCAAGUUGGAUACCAUUCAGGUAUGUACUUAAACUGGUUGAGUUAAAGACCCUUGUGCACGCACACUCGCGCACUCACAAACACGUGCAGAAAUGGACAGAUUUGCAAACCCUCAACCCUCAUGUUAUAGUGUUCGUUUAAAAGUAAUUGAUGUAUGUAGUUUAUGCUUAGAUGAUUCUCCGUCGUAGCAAUGAAAGAGGCACCUGAAUCUAAAAGUUUCUAGAUUGUGGGAUUUGUUUUAAAACUAUGCUGUUCUGGUUGCGUAUUUGGUGGUUGUUCAACAGGGUUUGCUUCCAAGCCUCAGAGACAUUAGAAGAUCCUUGGCAAGGGAGCUCGUAGUUCUGCAGGAAAAGCUUGACGAGCUCGGUGAGAACACCAACAACGGUAACUGCAUGCUAGAGCAGCAAAGAGAGGACGUGACUGGACUUGGUGAAGGAUUGCCUGAUGGUGUCAGUGAUAGCAGUCAUCAUGGUACAGACCAUUGUCAAGGGGAAGUGCUUCAGAAUGUUGAACCUGAGCCUGGUUUGAGAGCCAAGGAACCAGGCCAUUGUAAUCAUAGAGAGUUGCACGCCGCAGCAGAGGAUGGUGAUCAAGAGCUACAGGUGGAAAGUUGCUUAAAGUCUGAAGAUAAUGGUUUUGCGCCCAUUGUGGAAACAAAAGAUGAUGUGGUUGGUGAACAGUCUACUGGAGAUAUGGCGGUGGGAGAUGCAGAAAUGAAGAAUGGUUUUACUCAGCCUGGGCAAUGCAGUGAAGCACCAUCUCUAAUAGAAGGAAACCAUACUCUGACAGGAAACUCUUCCGAAGCUGUUAAUAUAAACGUAGAGACAAGAGAGCCUGGAGAGUUGCCUCGAGGAGUAACUGAUGACGAACCUGCCAUUUUGGAGCCUGGGAAGGAUGAACAAGUGGAAGUGUUGCCGGAUGUGACUCCACCAAAUGCUUGUGCUUGUGUGAUGGAAAAGGACUUAGAGAUGCAAGAGAUAGCAGAACUGUCACGGGGCAUGAUUGAUGAGUACAAUGCACUUACCGAAUCUACCAUUUUGGAGCCUAAAAUCGUUGAACAAGUAGAACUGUUGCCAGAUGUGACUUCAUCAAAUGCUUGUGCUUAUGUGACGGAAAAGGAAGCAGAGAUGCAAGAGCUAGCAGAACUGCCACGGGGCAUGACUGAUGAGCACAAUGCACUUAAUGAGUCCAAGGAAAUUGAAGAAGUCGGAGUGGUGAAGGAAGAUGAUUCCCUACAAAGUGGAGAAGAACAUCAUGUGGCAUUUGAUGUAACUUCACAACCGGAUGGAACUUCAAAUACGGAUCAAUUAGAGCAACGACGAGAGGGAGCAGGGGAAGAGCAACCUGUUGUCCGUUUUGAGCAGCAGGUAGAGAUUGGAUCUCAGGAGGAUGAAGGACGCCCUUCAGAUUCAGUGCUUGAUUUAGAGG